GCCUUCGUGGUGUAGUGGUCAGCACGCUCGGCGCGUAUUCGAGAGGUCCGUGGUUCGAGUCCCGGCGAAGACA
This is a non-coding RNA of Stegodyphus mimosarum, 73 nucleotides long. NCBI's taxonomy places the organism in Eukaryota, Metazoa, Arthropoda, Arachnida, Araneae, Eresidae. The record is from Rfam.